This is a small nuclear RNA of Pteropus vampyrus (large flying fox), 104 nucleotides long. The record is from Ensembl. NCBI's taxonomy places the organism in Eukaryota, Metazoa, Chordata, Mammalia, Chiroptera, Pteropodidae.
GUGCUCACUGCGGCAGCACACAUACUAAAAUUGGAAUGACACAGAGAUUAGCAUGGCCCCUGCACAAAGAUGAUAUGCAAAUUUGUGAAGUAUUCUAUGUUUUU